AGUUAUCCUGCCUGGCUUAUGCAGUGCUGGGAAUAGAACCCAGGACAUCACACAUGCUAGGCAAGAACAUUACCAACUGAUCUGUAUUCCCAGCUUUAGUAUCAACAUCCUAAGAUGCCGAGAGUAAAUACGGUAUCAAGCCUGCGGUCCAGAUUCUGUGUGUGUAUAAGGAGGCUGGAAUGUUGACCAGUAGUAGAACAAGCAGUUAAGGAAUGUCCUGGGUUUGAUUCCCAGCACUGAAAACGUGUGUGUGUGUGUGUGUGUGUGUGUGUGUGUGUGUGUGUGUGUGUUUUGUGGGGGGAGAGGUGGUGUUGCUCCUGUUUGUCUUUCAGUUUCCAGACUGAAUGCCUUGGCUUUCACGAGAGCAGAUGCUAUUCUUAGAACUUGUCUCAGCGAGUCUCAUUCCUUCUCAGACUCCCUUCAUCUUUUGUUAGUGGGUGCAUCUGAUGUAGCACUUAGUUUUUAUCCAACUUGUUCUUUCUUGUUCACUCUGCAUACAGUUGCAUCUGCAUACCAGGGAGGACCUUCAGUAAGGAGUGGCUGAUCCAGAUGUUGGUGUGGUGAGCAGGCCUCGAGUACAGGAGAAAGCCAGCGACUGUCCGGUUGUGCCCUUGGGUUACUCUUGGCUUAGGUGGUGGGAGUACAGUAGAGGGACAGGGAAGAUGGUCAGAGAUCCAUCCUUUAGCUACUGAGGCAGAGUCCGUGAGAGUAGAGUGGGGUUUUCUUUAGAGAAGACUGUUUAGAUGAGGAAACUAGCAGGGAAGGAAGAAAAUGUAUUAGAAGAGUGAAAGGUGAGUAGGAAUCUUGACGGUUUCUGGAAUGAGGCUUGUGGUGCUUGGGCGGCAACGCCGGUCAGGACUCGGGCAUAUCUGUAGCUGUUCUCUCCGGAGGCUGAGGAACAGUCUGAGUGGUUUCCAGGGGAUGAACAUCUAAAAUUGUGCUGGGAAUGAAUGCGCAGCACAGAGCGGCUGGGCCCGUUCUCUUACAGGUGGUUUCGGUCCAGUCUCUGUCUGAGGACAACAGGAAGAGACAGAGAAUGCCUGGCAGGUAGCUCUGUUCCCGUUCUUUCCCUCAGAGACAGUCAUUCUGAAGCUGCCCACAGCAACAUCAGAGUCUUUGUCCAUUUUUGGUUGAAAUUGCUUACGCGCCUUCCUGACACCCUCCCCACCUCCUCUGAGUUGUGUAACAGAGAAUUAAAUGUGCUUUCC
This 1208-nucleotide long non-coding RNA is filed under the name Mus musculus (house mouse). RNAcentral's name for it is "long non-coding RNA chr11:104669261-104670469". Lineage: Eukaryota; Metazoa; Chordata; Mammalia; Rodentia; Muridae. The record is from RNAcentral.